Molecule: long non-coding RNA, 6909 nt
Organism: Lathyrus oleraceus (garden pea)
Lineage: Eukaryota; Viridiplantae; Streptophyta; Magnoliopsida; Fabales; Fabaceae
Exons: 2
Source: RefSeq, a predicted model, not a curated record
AUUGGCAGAUCUCCAUUUUUUAUUUUACUUUAAGUGAAUAUACUGUUCCAGAUUAUCUUUUAAUAGAUUAUAGCGGGCCUAACUCAUCUUUAUAAAACCAAUUUAUAAGGUAAUGAUUGCCACAAUAAUAAACACUUAUUCAACCCUUAUCUCAUCUAAUGUAUGACUCUUAACAAACCCAUCUCACGCACAAAACUCUUGAGAUUGAUGCGUGGUAUAAAUAGUAAGUGGCCCGAUUGAUAGGCUCUGACACCAUUUAAGAUUAUAUAGAGCCUAACUCAUCCUUACAAAACCGGUUUAUAUGGUGAGGAUUGCUCCAUAUAUAAAGUGUAUGACUCUUAACAUGCCUGAAAGUCUUACAAUAAUUGUUUUUGUUGCUGCUUCAAAUCUAGGAGUUUUAGUUAUUAUCUGCACAGGUGGAAUGGUGAAUGAUUGAAUGGGAUAGAGAUAGCAUUGGAUAGGAUGUAAAAUAUUUUUCAUAUGCUCCCUCCAUCCCACAAUGAGUGACCGAUUUGUAAAAAAAAGUGUCUCAAAAUGAACGAUCAAUUUUAAUUUACAAUGCAAAUUAAUUUCUUUCUUCCAGUUAUACCUUUUAAUUAUUACUACUUUCAUCACUCCUAAUACUUGAUAAUGGACACUUUGGUAAAAAUAUUGUUCUCUCUCUUUCAUUUAUACACUUUUUCUUAAUAUAUUUAAAAUAAUCAACUGAGUCACUCAUUAUGGGACAGAGAGAAUACAUUAUGGGACAGAGGGAAUAAUAUCUCGUAUGUUGAUAAUAUACGUCCACCUCAUUUGUAUUGGCUGUCAGGAACUAUUGUUAAUGAUAUUUAUGAUAACAGUAGGAAGCAGAGGAUAUUUUUAUUGAUAAACAAACAAUCUAUAAAUAGGCUAAUACAUAAUUGAAAGCAACAUGAAAAUAGACACUAUCCCACGUUCAAAAUAAGGCAAACUGAAACAAACUUACUGACACUCCUAAAGACUACGACAACCCAAAACGUGCAAAUUAUAAAAUUUCCUCUACAAUUUAAUGUCCCCUAUCCUAUAAUCAUCUUGGAUAUGCUAGUACUUGACCCCUAUUAAUUAAUUGCCAGCAUAGUUGUUUUUUUGGGAAUGGUUAAGAUAUGGCAGUUAGAGAACUUGAAUUGGAUCUGAAUAUUUCCAAGGAAUUGUACAAAUAUAUACACAGGAGAAACAGUGCCAGAGAUCCCUGAAUUUUGGGAUAAAAUCAAAUAACGUAAGCUUUCUAUAGUGACUGAAAGUCUUAUAAUACGAAAUCGUCAAUUAACUUAGGCAAUGGAAAUUAUUAAACAGAUAUUUCAUGCUAUUUGACACCUUAUCGAUGGAAAUUAUCCAUAUUCUUUCUAAUAAAAUACCAGGUUUCUGAUGGAGCUGUUCAUGGUAUGGUUGACAGAGAAAACCGAAUCGAAACAAAACAUAGUAAAAAUUUAUUCGAAUUGAACCGAACCAUUUCAAUUUACUCAAAACCGAACUGAACCAUAAUCAUUGGUUUGGUAUACCGUUUUGAAAUUCCGAACCGUACCGGAUCGUUAAACUAUUUUAAAAAAAAUUUAUAAAAAAAAUUAAAACAUGUUUUUAGUAUUUUUCAUUUCCAGUUUCGGUUCGGUUACAGUUUCAGUUUGGUUCGGUUUCAGUUCUAAAACUGUUUGUGUAAUAUGGUUUGAUUCACUGAUCAAACAUAACGGUUCGGUUAUUUUAAUUUCAAUUCGGUUCGAUCCGGCGGUUCGGUUCAGUUCAUGGUUUUUCUGAACAACCCUGAUUUCUGAUAGAAACUGACAGUACCCAACAGAAAAUAAUUGAACAAUACUGAUACAUCAUUGCUAAUAAUUUUGGAGAAUGAUUCAAAUCCAGAACAUUACUGUUGGAAAUUCCGUCUUCAUUGUGGUCAGCCCUAGUCGCCUAGUUGCGGCAUUUGGGUUGCAUUCCUUGAAGUCUCCGUCACCUUCAUUGUGUUAGGUGUGAAGGGGUAGAUUUAGUUCCAAUUUGUUUAGAGAUAUGACAUGUGUCGUGUUAUGACUUGUGCCGUGUUUAUAAGUGGGGCAAUCUUCACUUUAUAAGUCGUAUUGUAGGAAUGAGUUAGCUCCAACCCACAUUUUUCUUGUUAAUCAGGAAAUAAUCUUUACAUUUAUUGUGAAUAAUUUGCUUUCAUAGAAUAGGAAAUUAGUCAUUACGAAUUGUAAUUAGUCAUUAUGAAUUGUAAUUACCUGUAAUUACUGACACUAUUAUAUAUAGUAUCAAAUGCAAUGAGAAAGGCAUCAAGCCAAUUUUCCUCACAUGAUAUCAUAAGGGUUCGGUCUAACCUGUGAAUCCUUGUUCUCUUGGCUAAAUAGCGACACCCAACUGGGUCACUCUUGAAAUCGUGUUUCUCAUACGUAUUUCUGGAAAUCGUGUUUCUCAAUUGAAAGCUUUCAGUUGCCAUCUCAUGAUUUCUUCAUUGUUGCUAUUUCGUGAUUUUGAUUCCGUGUUUAUCGCAAGUUGUUUCGGUGAUCAUUGAUCGUUCGGUGGUGCUAGCAUAUUGUGAUUUGCGACUCUGUUUCGUAUUCUCGGCGAUUCUGCUCGGUGAUCGUUGUUCUUGGCGAUUCUGCUCGAUGAUUGUGGUUUCAUUGUUGGAUUGUUGGUGUAUCUUGAUCGUGCUUUCAUUGUCGGUGUUUCUCGAUCAUGGGUGUUUCUCGACUGUGGUUUAGCUACUGCGUGGGUUUACCGGUUUGCUUACCAUUCUUUUUUUUACUAUUUAUUUAAUUGUUAUUAUUAAAUAAAUAAAUAAAAAGCAGAAAUAAAGGGGUUUACUGGUUUGCUUACCUAGGAUUUGGAUUUAUCUUGUUAUUUAAAAUAAAAAGGGGUUAUUUUAUCAUGGCUAUGAAGAAUGACAAAAAUUAUUUUUGUGUCCGUUUUACCGGUAAGAAUUAUCCAAUUUGGGAAUUUCAGUUUAAAAAUUAUGUGAAGGGAAAGGGAUUAUGGAGUCACCUAGUGUCUCUAAGGCACCUACAGAAAAGGUUGCGUUAGAUGCGUAGGAAACUAAAGAUGCUCAAAUAAUCACUUGGAUCCUCAGCACUAUUGAUUCUCAAAUGGUCAAUAAUUUGCGUUCAUUUUCAACUGUUAAAGAAAUGUGGAAUUAUUUGAAGCGUAUUUACAACCAAGACAAUGCCGCCAAACGUUUUUAGUUGGAGCUGGAAAUAGCUAAUUACAAACAAGGUACUUUAUCUGUUCAAGAAUAUUAUUCUGGUAUUGUGAAUCUGUGGACAAAACACUCUUCUCUUUUACAUGCCGAUGUUCCCAAGAAUUCUCUCGCGGCUAUUCAAGAGGUUUACAACACAAAUAGCCGAGAUCAAUUUCUUAUGAAGCUUCGCCUAGAAUUUGAAGUUGUCAGAGGUGCUUUGCUGAAUAGGAACCCCGUUCCUUCUUUAGAUACAUAUGUUGGAGAGCUUCUGAGGGAUGAACAACGUCUUAUUACUCAAGGAGCCAUGUCUAAUGAAGUUGUUAUUUCCGAGUCUAUGACGGUUGUAUUUGCUGCUCAAAGUAAAGCAGGGACAUAUUAUCUCUGAGUGCCCCCACACAUCCUCCACGACCAACACAACGUUCGGUGCAAGCAUUCCAUGCAACUACAAAUUAUGCAGUUGGUCCUUCCAAUGGCGGCACAUCAAACGGAGGUGCUAUACAGCCUGAACUAAUUCAACAAAUGGUACUUUCUGCUCUUUCGGACUUGGGAAUUCAGGGUAAGUCUUCUAAUAUUUCUCGCCCAUGGUUUCUUGAUUCUGGUGCAUCCAAUCACAUGACGGGUUCCUCUGAAUAUUUGCACAAUUUACAAUCUUAUCAUGGUAAUCAAAAAAUUCAAAUAGUUGAUGGUAAUACUUUAUCUAUCACUGAUGUUCGCGACAUAAACUCUGACUUUCGGGAUGUUCUUGUAUCACCUGGACUGGCUUCCAAUUUAUUGUCUAUUGGUCAAUUGGUAGAUAAAAAUUAUGAUGUUAACUUUUCUAGUACUGGUUGUCUUGUGCAGGAGCAGGUGUCGGGGAAAGUGAUCGCGAAGGGGCCUAAAGUGGAAAGAUUGUUUCCAAUACAAUUUAAUUCUAAUCAUUUAUCUCUUGCGUGUAAUAACGUUUUGAAUUCUUAUGAGGAUUGACAUAGAAAAUUGAGUCAUCCAAACUCUUUUAGUUUAACUUUUGUCUCAUUUAUGUAAAACUGGUUUGUUGGGAAAUAAAAAUGUUACUUCUAAUGCCUCUAUUUCAUGUUCUUUUUGCAAAUUGGCUAAAAGUAAAACACUUCCUUUUCCGUCUGAUGCUCAUCGUGCCUCUACUUGUUUUGAGAUGAUUCAUGGUGAUGUAUGGGGAAUGUCUCCCGUCGUUUCUCAUACUCACUAUAAAUAUUUUGUCACAUUUAUUGAUGAUUAUAGUCGUUUUACUUGGAUAUAUUUUCUCCGUUCUAAAUCUGAAGUGUUUUCUAUGUUUAAGAAAUUAUUGACAUAUGUUGAAACUCAAUUUCAAGCAAGUGUUAAAACAUUUCGCUCUGACUCUGGUGGUGAGUACAUGUCUCAUAAGUUUCAGGACUACCUUCAACAAAAAGGCAUCUUGUCUCAACGAUCUUGUCCCAAUACCCCCUCAACAAAAUGGUAUGGCAGAACGUAAGAAUCGUCAUUUGCUUGAUGUAACAUGCACCUUACUUCUCCAAGCUUCUGUACCAUCCCGAUUUUGGGUGGAGGCUCUUUCCACAAUCGUCUUCUUGAUCAAUCGUCUUCCUUCUACGGUUAUUGAUCUUGAUUCCCCUUUCUUUCGUCUUUUUAAAAUUCAUCCUGAUUAUAGUACUUUACAUACUUUUGGGUGUGUGUGUUUUGUUCACUUACCUCCUUUUGAAAGGCAUAAGCUUGCACAGUCCGUUCAAUGUGCAUUUAUGGGAUAUAGUCACUCUCAUAAGGGAUUUGUGUGUUAUGAUGUCACUAACCAUCGUUUUCGCAUUUCUAGGAAUGUGGCAUUUUUUGAUAAUCAGUUUAUGUUUCCCUGUGUUUCUCCUGUCAUUAAUGAUAUUGUUACUCUUCCUAAAUUUUCUAUUUGCCUCAAUCUAUACAACGUUAUAAACCAGGUCAUGUAUAUGUUCGAAAACACAGGCAACAGGUUCUCACACCCCUUCCCGACGCUGAACCGCCACCUGAUCCUGUACUGGUUGAACCACGGCGUUCUGGUCGAAUAUCUCGCGCACCAGAUAGAUAUUCACCAGACAAGUAUGAUUCCUCACAUACUUCUCUGACUGUCACACUCUCUAGCAUAUUUAUUCCUACUUGUUACUCACAGGCUGUAAAAGAUGUCUGAUGGAUAAAAGCAAUGAAUGAAAAGCUUCAAGCUCUUCAAGAGAAUUUCACAUGGGAUAUUGUCUCUUGUCCUCCUGAAGUUAAACCUAUAGGUUGCAAAUGGGUGUAUUCUGUGAAAUUGAAUUCGGAUGGGUCCCUCAACCGUUACAAGACUCGUUUGGUUGCUUUAGGAAAUAAGCAGGAAUAUGGAAUUGAUUAGAUGAGACAUUUGCACCGGUUGUCAAAAUGACAACUGUUCGCACGAUCAUCUCUAUAGCUACUUCUAGUGGGUGGUCUCUUCAUCAAAUGGAUGUGAAGAAUGCUUUUCUUCAUGGUGACCUGACAGAAGAUAUUUAUAUGACUCCACCUCAAGGCUUAUUCUCUUCAUCUAAAGGCGUGUGCAAGCUCAAACGCUCCUUAUAUAGUUUGAAUCAGGCACCUCGAGCAUGGCACGAGAAAUUCCGCUCCACUCUACUUGGAUUCUCCUUUACUCAAAGUCAGUAUGAUUCCUCUUUAUUUAUUCAUAGUACAUCUGUGGGUAUUGUUUUGCUUCUUUUGUAUGUUGAUGAUAUGGUUAUUACUGGUUCUGAUCAUGCUUCCAUUCAGCGACUUAAGCAACAGUUACAUGCCUCAUUUCACAUGAAAGAUUUGGGUAAUCUACAUUAUUUUCUUGGUCUUGAGGUUCAUUAUACAUCCAAGGGCAUCUUUCUCCAUCAACACACGUAUGUUAUAGAUUUGAUUUCUAUGGCCGGUCUCGAAUCGGCUAAUCCGGUAGAUACUCCUCUUGAGAUUAAUGUUAAAUAUUAUCGUGAUGAUGGUGAUCUUUUGCCUGAUCCCUUAUUGUAUCGACAACUUGUGGGUAGCCUCCACUACUUGACUAUUACUCGCCCUGACAUAUUUUUUGCUGUUCAAGAAGUCAAUUCAUGCAUUCUCCUCGCCAUCUUCAGUUGACUGCGGUUCGUCGUAUAAUUCGCUACUUAAAGGGAACCUCUCACCGCAGGUUAUUCUUUUCCGUUGGAAUUUCUCUUCAGUUGAGUGCUUAUAGUGAUGCUGAUUGGGCAGGGUGUUCUGAUACUCGUUGGUCUGUUACUGGUUGGUGCAUGUUUCUUGGUUCUUCAUUGAUCUCUUGGAGAAGUAAGAAGCAAGCAAGAGUUCUAAAUCUUCUACUGAAUUAGAGUAUCGUGCCAUGUCUGCUGCUUGUUCAAAAAUACUUUGGCUUCGUGGGCUUUUGGCUGAACUUGGAUUUCCCCAAACAGAGCCAACUUCACUUUAUGCUGACAAUACAAGUGUCAUUCAAAUUGUUGCAAAUUCUAUUUUUCAUGAACGCGCCAAACAUAUAGAAGUUGAUUGUCAUUCAAUACGCGACGCCUACGAUGAUCGAAUAAUAUCACUUCCUCACAUCAGUACUUAGUUGCAGGUUGCAGAUAUUCUUACCAAGGCUGUUCCACGCCCACGACAUCAGUUUAUUGUAAAUAAUUUACUUUCAUAGAAUAGGAAAUUAGUCAUUACGAGUUGUAAUUAGUCAUUAUGAAUUGUAAUUACCUGUAAUUACUGACACUAUUAUAUAUAGUAUUAAAUGCAAUGAGAAAGGCAUCAAGCCAAUUUUCCUGACA